UACGGAGGAUCCAAGCGUUAUCCGGAUUUAUUGGGUUUAAAGGGUGCGUAGGCGGAUUGAUAAGUUAGAGGUGAAAUGUCCGAGCUCAACUCGGGAACUGCCUCUAAUACUGUUGAUCUAGAGAGUAGAUGCGGUAGGCGGAAUGUAUGGUGUAGCGGUGAAAUGCUUAGAGAUCAUACUGAACACCGAUUGCGAAGGCAGCUUACCAAUCUAUAUCUGACGUUGAGGCACGAAAGCGUGGGGAGCAAACAGG
This 253-nucleotide ribosomal RNA is filed under the name uncultured bacterium. RNAcentral describes it as "partial 16S ribosomal RNA". It matches the Rfam family "Bacterial small subunit ribosomal RNA", at positions 524 to 776 of the family's 1533-position model. The record is from RNAcentral.